Pelobates cultripes (western spadefoot toad) is the source of this 214-nucleotide non-coding RNA. The record is from the annotation of a GenBank genome assembly. Lineage: Eukaryota; Metazoa; Chordata; Amphibia; Anura; Pelobatidae.
UUCCCACAUACACCUCCCUCUACUGCCAAUAGGUAAUCCAAAGCUAAUCUAUUCUGGUAGAUGGCUGUCCUCAUCCUAGUGUUAUGCUUCGCUAGAAGAUUGAGCGCUUGUGAUGUUUCAUUGGUAACUAUCUCAACUACUGCUUGCAAUCUUAUAAUACGAUUAAGCAUAUAUAUUGGGGUUCUGUAUCCAUAAGUACCAUCCUCUGCCCACG